RNAcentral lists this ribosomal RNA (253 nucleotides) under uncultured bacterium. RNAcentral's name for it is "partial 16S ribosomal RNA". It matches the Rfam family "Bacterial small subunit ribosomal RNA", at positions 524 to 776 of the family's 1533-position model. The record is from RNAcentral.
UACGGAGGGUGCAAGCAUUAAUCGGAUUUAUUGGGCGUAAAGGGCGCGUAGGCGGAGAUAAUAGUCAGAUGUGAAAUCCUGGGGCUCAACCUCAGAACAGCAUUUGAAACUGUAUUUCUAGAGGGUAGGAGGAGAAAACGGAAUUCCACAAGUAGCGGUGAAAUGCGUAGAUAUGUGGAAGAACACCGGUGGCGAAGGCGGUUUUCUAUCUUACACCUGACGCUGAUGCGCGAAAGCAAGGGGAUCAAACAGG